CACCCGGGGAACACGGACGAGUGGACGCUACACAUCAAGUACGCCCAGCCAGGGGACGGUGGCUGGUACGAGUGUCAGGUCAACUCUGACCCCAAGAUCACCAGGCCUGUCCUCCUCAUUGUCAAGGACAAGAAUAUGGACGACCCGUUCUACCAGCUGGAGGCCUCUGACAAUGGUACCCAGGUACACAUCUCGGGGGCUGAGGAACGGUACAUCCAGGAGGGCAGCGUGCUGGCGGUGACCUGUACCGUCGCCCACCACCACAUGAAGGGUCCUCACGCCGUGGUGUGGUACCAGGGCGCCCGCAGACUGGACUACGAUGCUCCGAGAGGCGGAAUAGCU
Non-coding RNA from Procambarus clarkii (red swamp crayfish), 342 nucleotides. Lineage: Eukaryota; Metazoa; Arthropoda; Malacostraca; Decapoda; Cambaridae. The record is from RefSeq and is a predicted model, not a curated record.